UGCGCAUCAGUAAUAAAUGACACACAGCAAAAUGAAUCCGUUUAUUUGGGUACUUAUAAUCCUGAUGACGCUAGACGCGCUGCGGGAAUUGGCUGGCGCUUCGUCUAUUUUAGGAUGGCUAUUAACGUUGGUUUGAGCUGGCAAUAAGUCCGGACGGGUAUUUACCGCAGUCCGGACUUAUUUUUCAG
This 188-nucleotide unclassified non-coding RNA is filed under the name Escherichia coli. RNAcentral describes it as "ECRV308_01582 small RNA". Lineage: Bacteria; Pseudomonadati; Pseudomonadota; Gammaproteobacteria; Enterobacterales; Enterobacteriaceae. The record is from RNAcentral.